Molecule: long non-coding RNA, 1188 nt
Filed under: Oryctolagus cuniculus (rabbit)
Lineage: Eukaryota; Metazoa; Chordata; Mammalia; Lagomorpha; Leporidae
Description: lncRNA (ENSOCUG00000035685.1)
Source: RNAcentral
AUGGCCCCAACAGCCAGAGCUGGACUGAUCCGAAGCCAGGUGCAGGAGCCUCAUCCAGGUCUCACAUGUGGGUGUGGGGGCCCAAGGACUUGGGCCAUCUUCCACUGCUUUCCCAGGCCACAGCAGAGAGCUGGUUCAGAAGUGGAGCUGCUGGGACACGAACUGGUGCCCACAUUGGGUGCCAGCAUCGCAGAUGGCAGCUUUACCCACCAGGCCACAAGCCAGCCCCCAGACUUUGAUUUAAAAUAUGUAUAUAUACAUAUAUAUAUAUAUGUAUGUAUGUAUUAUUUGAAAGGCAAGAGAGACCUCCCAUAUGCUGGUUUACUCCCAAUAUGCUUCCAACAGCGAAAGCCAGGAGCCAGGAGCUCCAUCUGUGUCUCCCAGGUCAGUGACAGGGGCCCAAGCACUUGGACCAUCUUUCACUGUUUUUGGAAGCUGAGCAGCCAGAACUUGGACUGGCAUCCAGCAUGGGCUAGAGGCCUCACUCUGGCCUCCAGACUUGGAUCUUUAAAAGGUCAUUCUGACUGCACUGCGAUCAGGAUGGACCCAGACAAACAAGAGGCGAUGGCAAAAUCCAAGAGCGAGCGAGCGAGUGAGCUGACAGUGCUGGAAAUUGGUGACUUCGUAGUCGGCACUGAAGAGCUGUCAGUGCGCGCCGAGACGCAAAGCGUCACCCCAGGGUUUGCUGCAGGAGAGGGGUUCUCAGAGGUGGGAAGACUGGCAGGGGUGCAGAUAGGGUUGGAGGUCAGGGACUGGGUUUUUUGGUUUUGUUUUGUUUUGAAUCUGAGAGAGCUCCCAUCCUCUCACUCACUUCCUGGAUACUGGCAACAGCCAGGACUGGGCCACGCCAAAGCUGGGAGCCCGGAGCCAGGAAAUCAAUCCAGGUCUCCUCUCUGGGCGGCAGGGACCCAACUACUUAAGCCAUCACCUGCUGCCUCCUCGGGUGACCAUCAGCGGGAAGCUCAAAUGGGGCACACAGCUGGGACCUGCGUCCAGGAACUGCCAUACGGAAUGCAGGGCUCACAAUUGGCAUCCAAUGGCCAGGCCAAACUCCCGGGCCAGGAAGUGGGAUCUGGACGCGUGGAGUUGAUUAAGCAUCAAGUGGAGCAGGCAGCUGGUGUGGAAACAAUGGCUUGGAACUAUGAAGGCACCGCAGAAGCUUAUGGGAAAAACAAAAUAAAAAGGUAA